CCGCCUCGACCGCCCUCCUCCUUCCCCCGCCACCCCCUCCUCCACCUCUCUAUCCUCGACAUCGUGCUCCGGCUCGCUCGACCUUUCCAUCAACCUUCUAUCCUCUUUGUGCGCCGCGCCACGAAUACCGACAAGCGAUCCGUGAUUCGUCCUUAUACCCCUCACCGACGAGCAGGAUGUUGGCAUCUUCGGCUGAAAGUCCGACCCAGAGAAACCCAGUGUCACGCGAACCCCGCGCGUACGACUCGCUGCUGCUUCUCUUCGGAAAGAGGAAUUUCUAUCGGAACCUGUGAAUGAUUCUGAAGGGGUCGUUUCGUGGUGGCGCGUUUGGGGUUAGUGACCCGUAUAGCAGGUAUUACGAAGCGAGGGGUUAAAAACAACAUUAACGAAAGCGAUGGUUAACGAAACAAAGACGAUGAAAGAAACAAGACUAAGAAGAGAGAAAACCUUCGAUCUAAAAAUACCAGCUAAAAAUACGAUCUAUCUCUAUAAAAUAAAAUAGUAACCCUAACCUACCUGGAAUUUAACUGAACAUUAUACAAUUAUGAGUUUCGAAUUCUAUCGGAAUGAUUAACGAAACAAAGAAGAAGACGUAAUAAAGCUGAAAGCAGAGAACGAGCGUGCCUUCGAUAAUCC
Molecule: unclassified non-coding RNA, 636 nt
Filed under: Bombus terrestris (buff-tailed bumblebee)
Lineage: Eukaryota; Metazoa; Arthropoda; Insecta; Hymenoptera; Apidae
Description: misc RNA ENSBTSG00005037751.1
Source: RNAcentral